CCUACGGGAGGCAGCAGUGGGGAAUAUUGGACAAUGGGGGGAACCCUGAUCCAGCCAUGCCGCGUGUGUGAAGAAGGCCCUCGGGUUGUAAAGCACUUUCAGUGAGGAAGAACGCCUGGUGGUUAAUACCCAUCAGGAAAGACAGCACUCACAGAAGAAGCACCGGCUAACUCCGUGCCAGCAGCCGCGGUAAUACGGAGGGUGCGAGCGUUAAUCGGAAUUACUGGGCGUAAAGCGCGCGUAGGUGGCUUGAUAAGCCGGUUGUGAAAGCCCCGGGCUCAACCUGGGAACGGCAUCCGGAACUGUCAAGCUAGAGUGCAGGAGAGGAAGGUAGAAUUCCCGGUGUAGCGGUUAAAUGCGUAGAGAUCGGGAGGAAUACCAGUGGCGAAGGCGGCCUUCUGGACUGACACUGACACUGAGGUGCGAAAGCGUGGGUAGCAAACAGGAUUAGAUACCCUGGUAGUC
This 465-nucleotide ribosomal RNA is filed under the name Vreelandella stevensii. RNAcentral's name for it is "partial 16S ribosomal RNA". It matches the Rfam family "Bacterial small subunit ribosomal RNA", at positions 338 to 795 of the family's 1533-position model. Lineage: Bacteria; Pseudomonadati; Pseudomonadota; Gammaproteobacteria; Oceanospirillales; Halomonadaceae. The record is from RNAcentral.